Molecule: unclassified non-coding RNA, 332 nt
Filed under: rhizosphere metagenome
Description: partial ribosomal RNA internal transcribed spacer region
Source: RNAcentral
GUAGGUGAACCUGCGGAAGGAUCAUUAACACGUUUGCAAAAACGUUUAAUUUACUAUACCAAAAACCAAACGCGAACUAACGUAGGCGCUAGUAGUGCGCUGAGGGGGAGUUCUCCUAGGAUUUAAUCUCCUGCUGCUCGAGAAGGGGGUUUCCGUUCGGACUGAGUCACACCAAACGCAAAGGUGGGUGCUGCUUAUCUUCCGUAUUCGUUUGCCUUGAUCUUGAGGCGAACGGUAAUGAUGGAAGAGGAACUCUUUUAAUUUCCCUCGGUGCCCGCCGAUCAACCCUAUUUUUUACCCCACUUCUCUUAGCAACGGAUAUCUUGGUUCCC